This 1093-nucleotide ribosomal RNA is filed under the name uncultured crenarchaeote. Its description in RNAcentral is "bacterial SSU rRNA". It matches the Rfam family "Archaeal small subunit ribosomal RNA", at positions 21 to 903 of the family's 1478-position model. Lineage: Archaea; Thermoproteati; Thermoproteota. The record is from RNAcentral.
CCCUACUGCUAUCGGGGUGGGACUAAAACAUGCUAGUCGAGCGUCUCCUGGCCAUGGUGGAGGCGCGGCGUACAGCUCAGUAACACGUGGCUAACCUACCCUUGGGACGGGAACACCCCCGGGAAACCACGCACAGACCUUGACCACAUAAACACAAAUUCUCAAAAAAUCCAAAAACCCCAUAACAUAAACAAACACUUCACUACACCGCCUUGCCGAUUUCUAAGCUGGCAAAGGCUAUCUCAAACUAACCAAAACCUACACGCAACUUUCUAAGAAUAGAAACUUAAGGCUCUGGCGUAGCCCAAAACUGGGGUUAAUUCCCGAUGGGUGAGGAGGCCUGGAAUGGUUCUUCACUGAAAGGGCGCUAGAGGCAUGCUCUCUAACGUUGCCCAAGGAUGGGGCCGCGGCCGAUCAGGUUGUUGGUGAGGUAACGGCUUACCAAGCCUAUAACCGGUACGGGCCGUGAGAGCGGAAGCCCGGAGAUGGGCACUGAGAUAAGGGCCCAGGCCCUACGGGGCGCAGCAGUUGCGAAAACUCCCGCAAUGCACGAAAGUGUGACGGGGCUACCCCCGAGUGCCGUCCGCUGAGGAUGGCUUUUUCUCCGCUGUAAGGAGGCGGAGGAAUAAGGAGAGGGCAAGACUGGUGUCAGCCGCCGCGGUAAUACCAGCUCUCCGAGUGGUAGGGGUGAUUAUUGGGCUUAAAGCGUCCGUAGCCGGCCUGGCAAGUCUUCCGUUAAAUCCAGCAACCUAAUUGUUGGGCUGCGGGGGAUACUGUUAGGCUUGGGGGCGGGAGAGGCCGACGGUAUUCUCGAGGUAGGGGUGAAAUCUUAUAAUCCCGAGAGGACCACCAGUGGCGAAGGCUGUCGGCUAGCACGCGCCUGACGGUGAGGGACGAAAGCUGGGGGAGCGAACCGGAUUAGAUACCCGGGUAGUCCCUGCUGUAAACGAUGCGAGCUAGGUGUUGGGGCGGCUACGAGCCGCUUCAGUGCCGCAGCGAAGGCGUUAAGCUCGCCGCCUGGGGAGUACGGCCGCAAGGCUGAAACUUAAAGGAAUUGGCGGGGGAGCACCACAAGGCGUGAAGCUUGCGGUUC